GGAAAUUUGAAUGUGUCUCUCUUUUUGGGAAAUAUAUCAUCUUUUUUCUUUUUGUAAUUACAUGUUGGGAGCAAUGCCCUUGAAACCCUCCAUUAUUGAUGUUAUGGUUAGAAUUAAGUAUGACUGGGUUCAUGGAAAAUCCCCAGCCAGCUGCAGAAGACUAAUACAAAUCUGGUGGUCAGGAUGAAUAAUGAUAUGAUAAAGUUCUGACCUUGCUGAGAAAUACAUCUGACAUCAAGAUACCCAAUGUGAUGACCUGUAACCUUUCUGAAAAACCAACAUCCUGCUGACUAAUAGAUAUGACAAACCUGUGACUUUUCUGACAACCUGUCAACAUCAGCCUACUCCCUG
Molecule: long non-coding RNA, 351 nt
Filed under: Androctonus crassicauda
Lineage: Eukaryota; Metazoa; Arthropoda; Arachnida; Scorpiones; Buthidae
Source: RNAcentral